CUGCGCGAGGUGGGGGAUCCUUUUUGAAAACGAAUGGUAAAACCGCAUAGUGUCUACGGACCAAAGGGGGCUUCGGCACUCGCCCUUAGAUUGGCCCUCGAUGGGAUUAGCUAGUUGGGGAGGCAAUGGCUCACCAAGGCGACGAUCCCUAGCUGCGUUGAGAGGAUGAUCAGCCCGCUGGCCCUGAGACACGGUUGCUACUCCUACGGAAGGCCUCACCGGGGAAUAUUGCACAAUGGGCGCAAGCCUGAUGCCUGCAUGCCGCGUGUGUGAAGAAGGCCAUCGGGUUGUAAAGCACUUUCAGUCAGGAGGAAAGGUUAGUAGUUAAUACCUGCUAGCUGUGACGUUACUGACAGAAGAAGCACCGGCUAACUCCGUGCCAGCAGCCGCGGUAAUACGGAGGGUGCGAGCGUUAAUCGGAAUUACUGGGCGUAAAGCGUACGCAGGCGGUUUGUUAAGCGAGAUGUGAAAGCCCCGGGCUCAACCUGGGAACUGCAUUUUCGAACUGGCAAACUAGAGUGUGAUAGAGGGGUGGUAGAAUUUUCAGGUGUAGCGGGUGAAAUGCGUAGAGAUCUGAAGG
RNAcentral lists this ribosomal RNA (580 nucleotides) under Pseudoalteromonas carrageenovora. RNAcentral describes it as "bacterial SSU rRNA". It matches the Rfam family "Bacterial small subunit ribosomal RNA", at positions 127 to 704 of the family's 1533-position model. The record is from RNAcentral. Lineage: Bacteria; Pseudomonadati; Pseudomonadota; Gammaproteobacteria; Alteromonadales; Pseudoalteromonadaceae.